RNAcentral lists this unclassified non-coding RNA (150 nucleotides) under uncultured Sordariales. Its description in RNAcentral is "sequence contains ITS2". Lineage: Eukaryota; Fungi; Ascomycota; Sordariomycetes; Sordariales. The record is from RNAcentral.
CAACCCUCAAGCCCAGCUUGGUGUUGGGGCCUUGCGGCCUGCCGCAAGCCCUGAAAAACAGUGGCGGGCUCGCUAUAACUCCGAGCGUAGUAAUGUAUCUCGCUAGGGACGUUGAGCGGGCGUUUGCCGUUAAACCCCCCAAUUAUCUAA